UACGGAGGGAGCUAGCGUUGUUCGGAAUUACUGGGCGUAAAGCGCGCGUAGGCGGCUUUGUAAGUUAGAGGUGAAAGCCCGGGGCUCAACCCCGGAACUGCCUUUAAAACUGCAUCGCUUGAAUCCGGGAGAGGUGAGUGGAAUUCCGAGUGUAGAGGUGAAAUUCGUAGAUAUUCGGAAGAACACCAGUGGCGAAGGCGGCUCACUGGCCCGGUACUGACGCUGAGGUGCGAAAGCGUGGGGAGCAAACAGG
Molecule: ribosomal RNA, 253 nt
Filed under: uncultured bacterium
Lineage: Bacteria
Description: partial 16S ribosomal RNA
Rfam family: Bacterial small subunit ribosomal RNA
Source: RNAcentral